This 72-nucleotide transfer RNA is filed under the name Teleaulax amphioxeia. RNAcentral describes it as "tRNA-Trp". It matches the Rfam family "tRNA". Rfam says of the family: Transfer RNA (tRNA) molecules are approximately 80 nucleotides in length. Their secondary structure includes four short double-helical elements and three loops (D, anti-codon, and T loops). The record is from RNAcentral. Lineage: Eukaryota; Cryptophyceae; Pyrenomonadales; Geminigeraceae.
AAGGGAAUAGUUUAAUUGGUAAAACAGUAGUCUCCAAAACUAUCGUUCGAGGUUCAAGUCUUCGUUCCCUUG